This 583-nucleotide long non-coding RNA is filed under the name Equus caballus (horse). Its description in RNAcentral is "lncRNA (ENSECAG00000054091.1)". Lineage: Eukaryota; Metazoa; Chordata; Mammalia; Perissodactyla; Equidae. The record is from RNAcentral.
CAUUUCAGGAACAGCUCAGAGCAAAGUGCCAAUUUCAAAUCUUCUCAGAAGCACCAUGAUCCCCUCCAACCAAGUUACUGCAAUAGCCCUUUGAGUUAACUGGAUUCUACAAUUGCCGAUCUCCACCCAAAAUCAGAGUACGAUGGGAAACUGAAGCUUAAUGAAGGUUAUUGGUGGCACACCAAGGACGGAAAAACAAGAGAAGGCCAAACCCAAAUACAAAGGAGAGAAGAACAAGCUCUAUUUCCAAAGGCACCGUGUGGACUUUGACAAAAUUUUCCACCCAAAUUUGUGCAGCAGAGAUCUGGAGAAAAACCUAUCCCAGAAGAUCAAACAAAGGAGGAGUCAGAACCUACCACGAGCUGAAAAAUCGGAGGAGACAAAGACCUCUAAGAGCAUCCCACAGAAAGCGAGUACUACAGGCUCCCUGAGAACUAGGCAAGACACCAGUGAGUGCAGGACGAAGGAGAAGCUAGCAUGCCUCCUCUUCUUUUUUUGUAUUUCCCACCUAUUUGUGGCAGAUACUGAGCUCUAGAACACCUUGUCAUAGCCUUCUCUGUAUGGAAAGUGCCUGUUCUUUAAG